CAUGAACAGCAAAAUUUAUUGGGUGAAGAGGGACUGGAAGUGGGAAGUAGUCAUACAGAAACCAGUAAGGAAAAACUGCAGAACGAGAUGCAGUCCGAGAACUCGAUGGAUUCUUCUAGGUGGAUGGAGACAUGAAAAAUUUGGAAACCUUGGGCACUACCUUGAGAACAUUAAGCCCAUCGGCGCCCACGGAGAAUAACUCCAGCUCCUUUUUCUCCGCGGCAUCCAUGGGGCCUUAUUUGCAUGGCCAGGUUGGCGGCUGCUUCUGCUGGGUCUGGUGACAGACUGGGACGCCCUUGCCACCCCCAGAGCCGCCGCCAGAGCCACCUCCGCAGCUCGAGCCGCCGCCGCCCCCGGAGGAGCCCCCACCACAGCUCGAGCCACCUCCGGAGGAGCCGACGGCGUAGCUCUGGCACUGGUAGUGCUGGCCAGAGGAGCCCCCGCCGCAGCUGGAGCCGCCACCUCCGGAGCCACCGCCGCAACCAGAACCGCCCCCGGAGGAGCCGCCGUAGCUCUGGCACUGGUAACUCUGGCCGGAGGAGCCGCCGCCGCAGCUAGAGCCGCCACCGGAGUAGCCGCCUCCGCAACCGGAACCGCCGCCGGAGGAGCCACCGCCGGAGCUCUGGCAUUGGUAGACCUGGCCGGAAGAGCCGCCGCCGCCGCAGCUGGAGCCGCCCCCGCCCCCGGAGCCGCCGCCACAGCUGGAGCCACCGCCUGAGGAGUAGCAGAUGUCGCCCCCGGAAGAGCCGCUGCCGUAGGUCUGGUAACACUGGCCGGAAGAGCCGCCGCCACAGCUGGAGCCGCCCCCGCCCCCGGAGCCGCCGCCACAGCUGGAGCCACCGCCUGAGGAGUAGCAGAUGUCGCCCCCGGAAGAGCCGCUGCCGUAGGUCUGGUAACACUGGCCGGAAGAGCCGCCGCCACAGCUGGAGCCGCCACCGCCCCCGGAGCCGCCGCCGCAGUCGGAGCCGCCGCCGCCCGAGUAGCCACAGCUGCCGCCCCCGGAGGAGCCGCCGCCGCCACUUGAGUACUUAACUCCUCCUCCGGAGCCACCGCCGCCUCCGCAGCCGGAGCCGCCGCCGCCGGAGUAGCCGACCACGCAGCUGGAGCCGCCCCCGCCGCCACCUGAGUACUUGACGGCUCCUCCGGAGCCACCGCCGCCUCCGCAGCCCGAGCCGCCGCCGCUGGAGUAGCAGCCCCCACAGCUAGAGCCUCCGCCUCCACCGCCGCCGCAGCUGGAGCCACCGCCGCCAGAGUACUUGACGCCUCCUCCGGAGCCACCGCCGCCCCCGCAGCUGGAGCCGCCGCCGCCGCCGCCGCCACCUGAGUACUUGAUGGCUCCUCCGGAGCCCCCGCCGCCCCCCCGCAGCUAGAGCCUCCGCCUCCACCGCCGCCGCAGCCGGAGCCACCGCCGCCUCCACCGCCAGAGGUCUUGCAAACCACUGGAGGGUAGGGGGUGGGCUGCUUUUUCUGGUGAGACAUCUUGUCUAAGGAGGAAGGAGACCCUGAAAAGAGAGCGGAAAAGCAUCACUGGACCAGCCGCAAGAGGGUGCUGCGAUAGUAAAAUCCUCCCUGCUCGGAGUGCAGCCUGCUGGGUUAGGCGCCAAGGUCUUUUCAGGAGCGCCAACUCAGCUGGGAUUGCUACUUUUGGAAAGGAGUCGAUUCCUCUCUCAGAAAAUCCUGGCCAAGUUGAAAUACCCGAGUGGAUGGAACCAACCCUCUCUCCAAGCUGUUUGACCUCAGUGGUGCUUUUAGGGCAGAUCACCCACUUUGGUAGUUUGAACACUUGUUUCUUAGGCCUCUUCCAGUCCCAACACUAAUUCUCCGAGUUCAAAUAGAAAAUUAUCACAAAUCUCUACUUAGCAUGGGGGAUUUUGCCAUUUCUAGCACAAUCUAGGGAGGUUUGUUGGGAUAGCAGAGGACUAUUACAUCUCUUCUUUUUUUUUUUUGCAAAAUCUUGAGUUCAAACUCUUUCCGUGUCCCACAGAGUGAAGCUAUGACUCAAUGGUUAGUUAUUAAUAAAGACAAGGUCUUCCUUGGCCUUUUCUUGGCACAGGGAGAAGGACUCAGAUGGUUCUUUGGGCCAGCACCUCCUACCAGAUUUCUGUAUAUCAGAUAUCUCUUUUGUGAUAUGCUGAAGCUUGGUAGAGGGAACUAUAACUAAUAGGAAGUUGAAUCCUAGCCCCUUGCAAGUCAUUUCUCAUUCACACUGUCUGCAGAAUUUGGCUUUUUGUGGCUCCUAAAAUACCUCUCCUCUGCAACAUUCUCUGAAUCAUUCUCAGUAUUCUCUAACCCUUGGCUUAGCUCCUCCUGACAGUUUUAUGAGGUCAGCCAGCCCAUGUACUGCAAGGGCUGCCUUGGACAGCCACUGCAGCAUUCCUGUGUCUAGCAGAAUUACACCCCCUACAGGUGUGCUAGAGAGGUAGGAAACAAUCUUGGGUUGGUAGAGUUUACAUUCUGGGCAGAAGACCAAGCAACUCUGCACCCCAUCCCUUUCCUGACUCCCCUCUUAGUAUGAGUGCAGUACAGAGGGAAGAUAGAUGUCCUCUAACUUCUACAGGUGAGAGAGACCCCCCAUGCACUGAAAGCCAGCUGAGAAGAUGAGAGCCAGUAAAUCCCCACUUACCCAAAACACCAGGGAGGGUGAGUGAGGAGAGGAGAUGCUGGUGAUGUGAGAAGCACUGGAACUGAUGAGGUUUUAUACUCUACCUGUCCUGACUCAUCUAUUGAUCAGGCCAGCCUCUUGUGUUUGAGCUUGCUCACGUGACCCAUAGCUGUCAGCCCCACCUCCAUGAGAUUACAUGCACAGGUUGGCCCAUUCAUGAAGAUUUUGGCAUUCUUGAGAUGGGCAGCUUAGUGUAUGACUGGCUUCUUCUCUGAUGCAACUGUGGAGCAGGCUGGUCAGUUGGGAUGGCCAGCCAGAGUGGAUGGCAGACAUUGUUUCCAGAACCUCUGGCAUGGGGCACAUGCCAUAACUAGCAUAGGUCCCAGAUGUGUGAGGCAGCCUAUGAGAAUCAAACUAGAGAUCUCAGUCCUUGGUCCAAGGAGUAAGACUUUUCAAACCCCACUGUAUGGCUUCUGAUCUUAUUGGUCUGGAAACCUUGAAACUUUAGAAUCUGUUCCUCUUUUGCCAAAACUUCUCUCCUGGGUUUCAUGAGAGCUUUACUGGAAUGUUUCUGUUCUGCCCACUGGGUGGCAAGGGUCCAUGAGCCCCAGCUCCCAGUUCUGGACUGCACGUCAUGGACAGCGCUGUAACUAAGAUGACACCCGGGCCUACUUCAAAUUGUCCGUGGAGAUAGCAAGCAUAGGAUCCAGUAUUGACUUUCUUUUCAGAGGUGUGCACUAAAGAGGUGGACCAUGUAGUCCUUUCUGCCAUGGCCCUUUGACUUCAGUGUCUUGUGGCAAUGCUGAUGUCAGCCAGGGGGCCAGCCAUGGAAUGCAAUAGACUUGAGGUUACAUGACUGGGUUUGGGUUCUCCCUUUGCUAGUCAGCUGUGUCACUUUGGGCUAGCUCUUUAUACAGUGCCUGCACAUAGGCACUGGACAAGUAUUUGUUGAUUGUUGAAUGGUCAAGCUUUGUGACCGUCAGUUUGUUGUCUACUAAGUAGGAAUAGUAGCUCCUAUUUUGCAGGCAUGUGGAGAGGGGAUGGUUCUUUAAUGUGUAGAAGGCGACACUGUCUUCUGUUGUUGUGUCACAUAACAGCACAUCCUUACUUUCACCCUCACUUGCCCUUGGAUACGAAAGCCCAGAAGGAGUCCAUGAAUGGUUUGAGACAAGCUCAAGUCUUCUCCUAGGAGAUUAACUCAAGACUUCUCUGUUGACUGCGCUGGCAGCAUCACUUCUGUGUCUGUAGAGCAGCAAGCUCUCCCUUCUUUCGUCAUUGGAACUCAGUUAUUAUUUAAGAUAUCACAUUCAAACUUUAUUCCACCCAGCUGUUGAAACAACUGCUCCAAUAAGAAAUGGACUUCAUUAUGGUGGAGUUUUAAUGAUCCAAAUGAUCCUGAUUAGAUGUGGCUUUCAGAAACUCGUGGCACUGGUUUCAGUUUGGAUAGCAAGAACUCAGCUGAAGCCAGGUGUUCCUCUCCUUCAAGAACACCCAGGAGAGAGAGGGCCAAAAUCUAGGUUUCUCCGUUUGAAUUUGAGGCACCAUGGAGGUUUUAGGGGAAACAAUCUCAUGGAUAGAAAAGAACCAUUUAUACGAGCCACAUGGGAGAGGGGGGACUGUGGAUCCCACACUGAUCUAUGGCCCAGUUUAAGCCAUUACCAUGUGUUCAUCAGUCCUUAGUAAAAGCCUAACUACAAGGAUGUUGGUAGAGCAUCCAUGGGAAGGAAAGUCAUGUGUUAAAAUAGAAUUUCUUACAGAAGCGGUGACGAGGCUGCAGUGGUUUCUUUCCUACCCUGAUAUGUCAAAAUGACACAUUUUUUGAGGGAUUCAUUACUUCUCCACAGAAUUCUAAAAUUUGGGACCCUCAAACACAGAUGGCCCCAAACAGCUAAUAAUCUUUAGGUAUCCAUUUAAACAUUUUUAUUAAUCGACACAUGCUAGUUGUAUGUAUGGGAAUUUGACGCAUUCAUGUAGUGUGAUCACAUCAGGGUGAUUAGCAUUUUUGUGCGGGAACUUUUAGCUCCUGUUUCACUAUUUCAGCAUACAUAAUAAAUUAUUAUAAAUGAUAGUUACCCUACUAUGCUAUAAGAUGCUAAAAUAUUCUUCCUGUCUAACUGUAUUUCUAUACCUAUUAUCUCCUUUCCUCUCUCUUCUCACUUAGCAUUUGUCUUUGUGUGUCUUAUUUCACUUAACAUAAUGUCCUCCAGUUUCAUCCAUGGUGUCCAGAAUGACAGGAUUUCAUUUUUGCAUGUUGGCUUUGGGGGGCUUAUGUUUUUCUAAGAAUAGUAGGGUAUUUUCUUUCUUUUUUCUGUCAGUUUUAAGGCGUUUUUAGAGGAAAGAUCCAUAUUUAAAGCUUUACUCACUGAUCCAGCCAACACAAGCAUGCUGGGCGCUAUGCUAAGCAUUAGAGAAGAGUCAGUACCAAAUCUCGUGCCUCUCAGCCUGCACUAACCUUGCAUAUUUUCUGAUUUGUCCCUUUAGAUCAGAAGUAGUCCUGCGGGGCUGUGUGGACAGUAACUGAUUUUAUCACAUCAGUUAGGAAAUGAUGGGCCAUUGUAGAAUGAUAACACAUGGGUGUGUGAGGUUUUGUAAGACUUGGUAUGCCAGAUUUUUAAGAUUCACAGCCUUUAUGUAUUUAACCCUGAAAUGUGUGCUUGCUAGUAUGUCUGGCUUGCACUGCAUUACAGAUUAGGACAUGGUUCUGUGACUGUACCUAUAUCUGUAGAGGGGACAGAUCAUUGGAGCAAAGGUAUGAAGUACCUCUGUGGUACUAGGCAUUAAUACGUGCUAGUGAAUGCUGUUGGAAUUGAAGGGAAUUUUGAGACCUAUUAACUGACAGUGGAAUGAUGAUCCUUUCAGAUGAUUAGAAGUGGAAGGUUUAGCUUGAAACUACAGAUUCAACGCAGCUGUUGUGUAAGUGAACAGACCCUGUGCAGGGAAUCCAGGGACACCUAUAAAAGUGACAUUGGCUAGUAGAAUUUCAUUGUGUUUCCUUUGACAGUUCUCUCAGUAUCUGUCUGAUGGGCAGGCCCCAUAUAGGAGGGGCGCGUGUGUGUGUGUGUGUGUGUGUGUGUGUGAAGUGUGAAUGAUGGUAAUUCCAUGUUUCCCUGAAAAUAACCCUAAAAUAAACUCUGGUCAUUACCAUGUUGAUGAUGUGUCAUGCAGAAAAUUGUGCCUCACUAUUCUCUUGCUCAGUGGCUACUUCGUAAUGGCAAGUAAGGCAAGAGGAUUGGAACUGGAAUUUUUGUUCUCUAGUUCACAAGGCUGCUUAUUUUCCAGUUAGGUCUUCUUUUCUGGGAAACGGUUCCCAGAAAGUUGUGGCACUCUGUGGUGUAAAGGACACAUCGAGGCUUAUCUGUAACCAUAGACUCAACUUCCUGUACAUACAGGCAUCCUUGGCGCAGGAGAGGAGGGAAGGAGAUGAUGUGAGGAUGUCCAGCUCCAGCUCAGUGCUGCAGUCCCACCACCUUCACAAGCUGUUGGAGGGGCUGUGGGAAAGGAGGGAACAGAAGGCUGCCUUUCUGGCCUGAGGUACAUGAUGCCUGCCCUUCUGGGCCCCACAGUGACACAGGAUUACAGCUCCUGAUUUUGGGGAGCUUUGGUCUGAUGCAAGCCUGAUAACCUUCAAGUAGCCAAAACCAUGCACUUUUCAUGUAGCUGAAGUUAAAAGGGCAACAGGUGAUUUGUAAAGAGUAUGCGCAGACCAGGGCCUUGGAAGCUUGGCAGGAUGGGACUGAAACUUUGGAAGCCCUUUACACUUCAUGGAAUGGAAAGUAUUUUCUUCUACUGUCCUGGCCCAGGAAGUAUAAGAUGGCCUCUGGAGCUGCUACUUCCCUCCUCUCUAGCCUCCUGGCCAACAGUUUGAAGAGGUCCUCUUAGACCUGCCAGUGUGAGUGGGAAUAAGGUGACAGUGGAGGUUUUGUAGCUGAGCCCAGCAAGCCGAAGGAAGCUGCUGACCUGCGUACACUAGCCUCUGGACCUGGAAGUAAACUGCUGAUGUGGCACAUCCCAGCUUUCACAGCUCCUGAACCUGUUGAAGUCAAGUAGAUGACUUGAGGAGCAAGCCUUCCCACUGCUUAAAAAAAUUCCCCCUCCAGGAUCUCUUCCCCGACUGACUGGGAGAGCACCUCGUCUUGCAGCACAGUGAUCUUGGUUCCCACUAGACUGAUCUCUCCUAUGAGGAGUAACUAGGUCUCGUUCACUGUUUUGCAUCUCAAGAACCCAACACAAUUCCCAGCAUAGCCCUCCGUGAGUGCUGGUGGUUGACUGAAUGAACGUCUUCCCACUUCUGGAUUGUUAGUGACCUAGCUUUCGAUGUUGUGGUCUAUUUUUACCACCCCAGUGAGACUGUUUGCUUCAGGAGGGCAGGGAUGGCACUCCAACUUUUAAUAAGCCUGGAACCCAAGUACACAUGAGGCAGUGAGUCAGUGUGUAUUGAAAGAAAAGAUGAAAGAAUGGAGCAGAAGAAUGGAGGGAAGGAGAGAGAAAAGGAAGGUAGAAAGGAUAGAAUAUUUUCAUCCAGAUUUAUAAUGAUGGUGGUUUGAGUCUAAUGAGAUUAAUAUCUUUCCCCGUAACCAACUCUGAGAACUGAUCUCAUUUGAGCAACUCCAACAGGUUUCAAUGCUUGUUUAGUCCAGAAAAAGGGGAGAUAAGUGAGACUGCAUUUUAGAAGUUUUAAAGUAGGUAUCUGAUGCACAGAUUUCUAAAUUACUGUUUUGAACACGAUUGUAAUAUGCGUAUCUGACUAAGUUAUUAUGACAUUUAAUUAUACUCCAUGAUUAAUUAGGAUAUUUUACUCCACGUAAUCCCUGUUGUAUCCUGUAUGGAUUAUAGAAGAGUUACAUACAGUGAAGUAUGCUUGCUGCUAGUGAACCAAGAACUUUUCCUAGUCUAGAAUCUAAGCAUUGCUUUUAAUGUGCGUUAGGAUGUGUGAAGUAUGUACCUAUGCCUGUCACAUGUGUGAUGCAUGUACUUAUGUCUGUAUAUGUGUGCUCAGAUUUAUGAUUUUGUGGAUAUUACUGCUUAGGAUGACGGAAAAAGGUAACAGUCAUUAAUAUGUCUUUUAAAAUUUGGCUAAGUAAAACUAGUUGAUUUAGAAAAAAUAUUAAAUAAAUUGCAAUAUGGGUGGUGCAUAGAUGUGGGAGAAACCGUGGAGGAGGUAUGUGGACUCGGAAGGGCUAGAAAACAGUAGAGGAAAGCAUAGACACUGCUGUCGCCCUGUUGGCAACUCCCAGCAUCCUCCUGGGAAAUGCAGACUCUGGGUGUAGGAUCCCUGGCCCUGUGUCAGCUAAGGGCAGGAAGGAGGCCACGAAGUGUGAGAGCUUGUCCAUCUCUCUGCCGAAGCACGCCCCUGGACAGGCCAGCCCAAGGCUCAGGAGCUGACCCAGAGCACCUUUGGAGGAGGGCAGCAGCAUGCUGUGAAGUUGGCAGCGUCUCCUCGGAGCCCCUGAGCGUUCCUACAGUGACCUCAGCCUCUUCUGUUCUGCCUCCAGCUCAUUCUUAGAAAAGGCUCCUGGGCUCUGAGAAAAUUCUGAUGAACUUAAUUGGUGUCAGGAAAAUUGAAAUGGAAGCCGAUUGCCAACUGUGGGACCAUGUGAUGUUACCUAAUCUUUGUUAACCUAUGUAUUCAUGUGUGAAAGAGGUUUGAUUCAUUACAUUUUGAUGAUGUUAUGAGGAUUAAACAGGCUCUGUUAUGUGAGAAAGCUACUGGAAACAAAAAAACUCGGUGUUUGAUUAAACUUCAAAGAAAGAUUGUUUUCUUAGGGUGUGGAAAGCGAUGGCAGUUCAGGGUAGAUCUCCACCCCAGGAGCACACAGUGUGUAAGGGUCAGAAUUAUAGCUGAAAGCAUGAAUGAAGCUUCAUGUCGCAUGUUGGGGUGGGAGGCUGGGGAUUGUCUCUGAUGGAUUUGUCUUCUCUUUGCUUAUGUUGUAUUGGGGGUCUGGCUAGUCUCGUCUGUUUUGUUCAGUUCUUUCCCACUUUCUUCUCUGAGUCUCAGUGCUGUUAUUGCCAAUGACAACAAUAUCUGUUGUUGAGCACAUGUGAUGUGCUAAGCACCAUGUUCAGUGCUCCCCGUGUGUCACUUCAUUUGUGUAUCACUACACUCUCUGGUGCUUUGUCUACAUUUUAUAGAUGACAAGAGUGAGAUGUGAGGAACACAAAACACUUGCUGAGGUCACACACUCGGAAGUAACUCCGCCAGGGCUGCAGGCAGGUGUUUUUGUUUGUUGCAGUUUGACUCCAAAACACAUGCUUUUAAACAGUUUUAAUGUCCAGUCUCACGAUUCUGUAUCAAUGUCAGCAUCAUAAAGUAUUUCCUGAGAGCAUUUAGUUGUCAAUAAGAGAGACAAAACAGAUGAAACCCUCCUCUCCCCGUGGAACAGGCAUUCUCACUGAAUGGCUCAAGGACUGAUUUUAUGCCUUGCUGGGCAGCUUGCCCCACACUGUCCGUCUUACUUUCCAUAUUUAUACAAGAGUGGACUGGGAUAGCUGAUCUCCAGAUUGGGUCCCUUCAGCAGGAGAUGCUUAGGCUUCGUGAUACCUGCUCAGCCUUGGAUGGGAAGGUGGUUCUCAGCCAAGCCAUAUAUAAUUUCUCCCAUGAAACUUCUUCUGACAAUAGGUUAUGAGUCCCUUUUCUGUGGCCCUUGUUAUUCUGAGCUUAACUUUUAAAAAAAGUACAAAACUCCUCACUUUCCAGAUUAUGUUUACAUUAUGUGUUACGUGUCCAUCUCCCUUGCUGGUCUAAAAACUCACUGAGGAUAGGACCGAAGCUCGUUUAUCAUGAACCUCUAGCACUUAGCUCAGUGUCCAUCAAAUGGUGGUCCCUGUAAGUGUAGGCUACAUAAACGCAGGGGGGAGCGUCCUAUCCAAGGUGACUGUACCCAGUUAGGAUUAGGUGACCAGGUUUUUGAGAGAAGAGGGAGAAGCUGAGAAAAGUGAUAAUUACAGGAGAUGCUUGGCAUUUACACUCCUAGGAGGAGGCUGUUCUUUUACUGGAGGAUGAGCUUGUCCUGAGGAGAAGGCCAUCCAGUCCAACCUGGGAGCCCUUGGUGGCACAACCAUCACUAUCAUCAUUGGAGGGAGUGCUGGUUGUGGUCAGGGCACAUAGAUGCCACACUUUUAAGCCGCAUCCUUACUCAGCAUAGUGUCACACCUGGAAACCAAAUAAAACCCAGAGGAAGGCAUGGAGGAAGGAAUAAGAGCAGGCUGACCUUACUUGCUGCUCCCACUGUGCUUAAUCCCUAGUCAAUUAAAUAUGAGACAGUGCAGGUAAUUCAGCCAAGACCUUGGGUGAUGGAUAUGGAAUUAAUCUGCUUUGAGUCCAAAUUACCUGUUUUUGCUGGAAUGAGUUUCAGAAAUGCCACUGAGUUCUGGGGAGGCCAUAAAUGUUGUGAUUACUGUGUGCUUAGACAGACUGUUGUAGACACACUGAUUUAAAAAAAAAAAAAUUGCUUUGUUUUCUGAGCCUAGUUGCGUACUUUGUGGCAUGGCAGGCCAAAUGUCCCUUGGCAGGGAGGGCUCAGGUCCGUGGGAGUGCUGGGGUGGGUAUGACCAGUGGAGCCUUGCCACCUCCCCUGGAAUGCAGCUCACACUCCUCCUUGAUGGCCUUCCCAUGAAGGACAGGCCUGCGCAAAGCUUUCUGAGGUUGGUGAAGAGAGCUUACUUUGGUGCUUACUUGGGAGCUUUGGCGCUUUGGAGCUUACUUACUCCCCUCUCAUUGUUCCUUCAAGUGCAGGCAGGAAGUUACCAUCCUGCAGAAAUCCAAAAUGGAAUAGACAUGGAAGGAUGAGAUUCAGAACAAAGUGCUGUGGGUGGGAAGGCGUAAGUGAAGUCCUGGAGGCCACCCAGCCUGGACAGUAUUGGUCUAUUUGCUGCCUUCAUUCUCACCUACUUUCUGUACUCUGCUCUCAGUCACCAGGUAACCACUUAGACCUAGAGUUGCUCUUUUUGCCCUCAACAUCUCUGUUUCCUUUAUUACCGAUGCCGUUGCCACCAUGUCUGUAUGACCAUUACUUUUAUUAUUACUGUACUCUAUUGCCAUCUCCUACAACAACAUCAUCUUGUCACUGUCCCCACUCCUACUGGUGUUGCUUCUGCUCAUUGUCGCUAUCAAUAGCAGUACCUCCAUCAGCCCCGUUACCUUCACCGCUGCCACCACCAGCACUGCCGUGGUCACAAGGACUACCAAAGACCCCUUCACUCAUUCUCACCAUUCUUACCAUCACGGCCUCCUCCACCACCACUACCACCUUCACCACAUUACUACCAUGAUCCAUUCUUAUCAUUACCACUGCUUCCACCACCACCAGCAUCCCUGUCACCAGUCAUUCUCAGCACUACCACUACCACAGCUAGAAUGGUGAAGAAAAGACUUAGGCCUAUAUUGCCCUCUUCACGUGAUGAAAGGGCUUCAGAGGAGUGGUUAAAUUACUUUGUAUUAAUAAAGAAGUUAGAAAAGGGGGCGGAAAUUUAAAAGCAAUUAUUACAUUUGAGUCAAUAGAAGCAAUCUCUUUCAUGGCACUAGGGAGGACAGUGGGGCAAGUCUGGGGCUAAAUGAUGAGUUUAAUUUGAAGUAUGUGGAGGAAUUUUUGUUGUUCUUUUUGCUUAUGGGGAACAUCAGCUGCGAUGAGCUUUCACUCCAAUCAUCCAAUCUCUCGCUGGUGUCUGAAUCCCCUCUGUAGAAUCCUUUAGGAGUAGAAAUUAAAGCCACCUUGUGUGUGUGUGUGUGUGUGUGUGUGUGUGUGUCCUUAGCUCAUUUAAUCCAGAAGUAGUUGGUUCCUUAUAUUUUUAUUUCAUAAGCUUUUAAUAAUGCUAUAAUAAUGGAUUACAUUGUGUUUUAAAAAUUUAAGACUUUUAAGGUUAGGGCAAAAUUCUUUCUGGUGGCCAUUCCCAUUCCUUGCUUCUUUCUUUCUUUCUUUCUUUCCUUCCUUCCUCCCUUCCUUCCUUCCUUCUUUCCUUCUUUCUUUCUUUCUUUCUUGUACCGGGGAUCGAACUCGGGUCCUUGUGCUUGUGGGGCAGGUGACAGAACCACUAAGCUAAAUCCCCGGCGCCCCCAUUCCUUCCUUCUUUAACUCCUCCACACAGACAAACUGUAUAAUUUGAUGUGAUAUUUUUUGUAGAAUAUUUUCUCACCUUUUUGUGUAUAUUUAUAAACAAUGUGAUAUUGUGCCCUGUGUAGAUUUUACCUGAAUAGUAUAAUAUUUUUUUCUGCCUCUUGCUUUUUUUUCCACUCAACAACAAAUAGGCACAAUAUGGCUAAAAGGGUGGUUCCUGGCUCCUGAGUGCCUGGAUUUGGAUUUCAGAUUUGUCACUUACCAGUUGUGUAACACUAUUUAACCUCCUUCAGUCUUUGUAGAUGGGUAUUAUAGCAUGUUCAUAUCCACUGUUUUCCUGUGAGGAUUAAAUGAAUUAAUUUAUAUAGGCACUUAGAACCAUGCCUGAAUAUAAUAUUGGCAGGUAUACAGUCACAUUCUUACUCAGAUUAUUCCUUAGUAAUUUCUAGAUUGGACACCCCACAGUUUAUUUAGCUCUCCCUAAAUUAUAUGUAUAUAUGCAUAUAUAUAUAUAAUAUGUGUUAUAUAUAAUAUAUAUGUUAUGUGUAUACAUAUAGAUCUGCUGCUCUGAGUUUCACUCUUGCAAACAAGGCCCAAGCAUAUUUUAAAUCUUACACAUGUGACUGGUAGUUACUUAAAGGUAGAUAAGUAAAAUUGCUGCAUUGCAUUCCUUCAAAAGGUUUAUUAGAAAAACACAUUUAUAAUGAGUAGAUACCUGUUCCCUGUUUCUUCCACCUGUUGGUUUUAUUUCUACCCCUUGACAGUCUGAGCCACACAGCAAAUUUUGUGGCAGAUGACCUUAGUGGUCAGGGCUAAUCACCUUAGGUUCAGAUGAACUUUGAGGGUGCAGGGAUCACAUUUUGGGGCCCUACUACAUACUGGACCCUCUACUAAGCAUUUUUAUAUAAUAAUUAAUUCAGUCACUAUAUUGUAGAUUCCAUGACUAUCUCUAUUUUAUUCAUGAAGAAAUGAAGGACAAAAAAGACACACAACUUCAAGUGGUAUAAAGUUGUGAAUAUUGUCAGUCCUUGUAUCAUGUUUAGUAUAUUAGUAUUCUCAUCACAUAGAAAACAUUCAACAAAUGUCAGUGUUAUUCCAGGAAUGACUGGUAAUUAUUAGGGUUAUAGAAUUGUUAUUAUUCCCACCAUCUCUGUUAUCCCCACAUUGUGAUGGAGCUCAUCUCUGAGAUAUGCAUUUGGUUUAUCUUAGAAAAAUGGAAAUGAAACCGUGGUUUCAAACCCUGCUUAACAAAUCUGCAGUAUUUGUUCUAUAGCUACAAAACACAUUCUUAAACUUUAAAGGACCUGCUGGCCAACUACGUAAUACGUUCAGUGUUCUCUCACACAUAAGAUAAAUGAAUAUGUACUUGAAUGCAAAUGAAAAUAUAUAAACAUUCAUUUGUGAGGAAAAAGAAAUUGGUAGAUGAGGGGUUGAGUUAUCUGGAUGUCCAGGAAAUAGGUUAAAGGAGAAAGGCUUGGAUCUGAGACUGGAUGAGAGUUUGAGAUGGUAGUCCUGGAGGUAGACUGGAAAGGAAUGUCCUUUUGAUUCAAAAAAAUGUGCUGGAGUAAGACAGACAGACAGCCUUCAUUGAUUCAUUGUGACAGAAGCUGGAGAUACAAAGAUGAGGAAGACGUAGCCCCUGACCCAAGGAACUCUCCUUGUGCUGUGGAGAGAUGUCGGUGUAAAUGAAGGUGGUAAGACAAGAUGAUGUUCAUGAACACACUCUGGGAGUGCUAGAAAAGUGAGAAGGGGCACCAAGGGCUUCUUCCUUCUGUGGAGAUGAAUGCUUAAGUCAGAAUCCUUUAAAAUAUGUAAGAGGGCCAGAACAGGCCAGGGAGGAGUGAGGAGAGGGGAGAGCGUGUACACAGGUGUGGGGUGGCACUGGGCACCUGUACAGCAUCGUAUGGAUUUAGAAGGAUGGCAGGGAAGAAUGAGAAAGGUAGCAUUGCAAAGGGACCUAGAAGCCACGUUAAGGAGUUUUGACUUUUAUUUUCAAGAAUGUAGGUAACCAGCAAAGGUUUUUAGAUUAUGAAAAAAAGCACGGUUAUAUCUUAACUUUAUAAGCUUACUUCUUGUAAAGUUCUUUAAAUGCUUAUGCUCCCAGAAAGGGCCGAGCUGCUCUGAGGUCAGUGCAGGCCUUGUGGAGACAGAGCACAACCAGGAUCAGCUGGAGCUGGCAGGUGCUGGCAGUGACCUUAGGAAGGUAGAUCUUGGUAAUGAUGACUGAGUUUGACUGGUUACAUUGGGCUGCCUGGCCAUGUCAGGUGGAACAAAUAAAUCAUUGAAUUCUUUAGCUCUGACCAGAUGUCUCAGAGUUAUUUCAUGUCAUUCUUAAAAUAACUUGUAAGUUAGGGAUUGUGGUCACUCCCAACCUUCAGCUGAGUCAAUAAGCACGAUGAGGGACUUGAACACAUAAUGUGUAGGUGCUAGCAGGUCCAUUUGGGCUCCUGCAUGCUCCAAGGCCCUUUUGCCAUAUUGCAGUUGUCUUCGGAAGGCAGAGAGAAGUGAGACCCAAGUUCCUCCUGCCUUGGUGGAGCAUUGCUUUGCAUAGCUGUGGAAAGCAGAGCGCCCAGCAAGCAUGCAUUUGCUCAGUGCUCAGAGAGGUCUCAUUCUCUGUCUCCAUUGUGCCUGGGGCCUGAGGGCUGAGCAGGUACUCUGUUGACCUGCCCCCCCAGGGUGGAGGGAGCUGUUGAGGCCUCUGGCAGGUUUGCAGGGGCACUAGGGGCUUCCUGCUUUCAUCACAAGGGAAAGGCUAGGUCAGCACAAAUUCUGCAGAAGCUGCUCCCUCCCAGGGCAGGCCUGAUGCUGCCCAGGGAGCUCGGCAGUACAGUUUGGCAACCUGGCCCCCUCUGGUGCUGCCUUUCUUUCUGACAAGAAAAAUAGAUUUCUUAACUGCUGGCUUGUGAGAACAAGUGGGUGGGUGGGGCUGUGGUGUAAUAGGGUAUAGCCCCAUCUGACCCUUCAUGGCUUCUUGCCACAUCGGGGCCUUGGUUCUUCGGAACUCUGAGGCAUCUACAACUUGUGAGUUCAGGACAGUGGGUCACCCUAGGGUUCCUGAGAUCCACAUUUUAAUUCUUUGAUUCUUCAGAUACUUCCAUUUACCCCUUAGCAUGUGUCAGCCACUUUAUAAUCAGGACCUGGUUUUAUCUCUAUAAUAAUCCGGAGAAGGUGCUAAUACCUUCAUUUUACAGGUGGAAAUCUGUGAUCUCCAUUGCCAUUCAUGUCCAUUUGAUGCCGUGUUUACUGCCACUCAGUGGGGACAGACAGACACUGCUCUGGACAUGUCACAAGCACCUGUGACAGAGCCCUCCUCACAGGCUGCUGCCAGCAGCAAGUUGGGAUAAUGGUCAUGAAUGCAUUUGGUAGACUAUAAAGUGCCGUGCUCUUCUAGAAACCAGCAUCCCAGCAGGAGUAAAGGCUCAGCACACUGCAAAAGUUGAGUAACACUGCCCCAUGUGGGCAGAAAGCUAAGACCACCAUACUUGGCAGCCCGGUGGUAGGUCCUCUCAGCUCUCCACAUGUACCUGGUGCUCCUAAGGUCAGACAGCGCAUACUGAUGCCCGGCUUUAAUUGCUUCCCAUCACCCACCACUGCAGAUAUAUUCCAGCUCUUUCUAGCCUGGGGCUGGAGGACACUUAGCAGAGCAAGGUCGGAUUCCUGUUAGCCCCUCAACCUGGGCUGGGCCAAGGGAGCAUUCUCAUCCUCUUGGUCCUGGAUCCCUGUUUGUCUAGAUUAACGCUCAAAGGCUGACAAGCACAAAUAGGUGGAGAAUGUUGGAUGGACUUCACCAAAUAGCUCUUAUAUUAAUUUAUAUUUGUGUUGAGCUCUCUCCUCCUGUUCCCUCAAAGGGCUCAGUCAAGAAUCUCUUACUGUGUUAUAUUUCAUUUAUUUAGUUGAUUAUCAAAGAGUAUGUAUGUUACAAAGUAUAUCAGAAAUCAGAGCUGAGGAAAGGAAGAUAGAUCAGAUAUGAGAAUCAAAAUGACACGUUUGUUUCACAUAUUAAUCACCUUGGUUUAAACAUUCCACAAAGUAUACAAAUAUCAAGACACCAUAUUUUGUACUACCCAUAUUACAGUUUUGUCAAUCAAAAGUAAAAAUAGGAUAAAGUAGUGUAGAAAAGGCUUAAACAUGUCCAAAGGACAAGUUUUGUUCUUUAACUCUUUUCUUUCAG
This 15823-nucleotide long non-coding RNA is filed under the name Heterocephalus glaber (naked mole-rat). RNAcentral describes it as "lncRNA (ENSHGLG00000042488.1)". The record is from RNAcentral. Lineage: Eukaryota; Metazoa; Chordata; Mammalia; Rodentia; Bathyergidae.